This 221-nucleotide long non-coding RNA is filed under the name Elaeis guineensis (African oil palm). Its description in RNAcentral is "long non-coding RNA (EGUI_LNC039137)". The record is from RNAcentral. Lineage: Eukaryota; Viridiplantae; Streptophyta; Magnoliopsida; Arecales; Arecaceae.
UCCCGUUCCUCUCCCGCAGCUGGUGGAUGAGAGCUGAAUAUCCCAGUAUCCUGUAACGAAAAAAAUAAAAUAAUAUUAGUAAGUUUUGAUACAUAGGUGUAUCUUUCGAUACACUCCUUCGAUUCUCGAACAGAUUAUUUCUAUAUAUUCUAUUCGAUGAUACAGAGCUAUAAAAACCUCUGACCCAUCGAUUGGAUGGUUAGAUUAAAUUUUUAGCCCCU